CCUACGGGAGGCAGCAGUGAGGAAUAUUGGUCAAUGGACGAGAGUCUGAACCAGCCAAGUAGCGUGAAGGAUGACUGCCCUAUGGGUUGUAAACUUCUUUUAUACGGGAAUAAAGUGAGGCACGUGUGCCUUUUUGUAUGUACCGUAUGAAUAAGGAUCGGCUAACUCCGUGCCAGCAGCCGCGGUAAUACGGAGGAUCCGAGCGUUAUCCGGAUUUAUUGGGUUUAAAGGGAGCGUAGAUGGGUUGUUAAGUCAGUUGUGAAAGUUUGCGGCUCAACCGUAAAAUUGCAAUUGAUACUGGCAGUCUUGAGUACAGUUGAGGUAGGCGGAAUUCGUGGUGUAGCGGUGAAAUGCUUAGAUAUCACGAAGAACUCCGAUUGCGAAGGCAGCUUACUAACCUGUAACUGACAUUGAUGCUCGAAAG
Molecule: ribosomal RNA, 424 nt
Filed under: uncultured Flintibacter sp.
Lineage: Bacteria; Bacillati; Bacillota; Clostridia; Eubacteriales
Description: bacterial SSU rRNA
Rfam family: Bacterial small subunit ribosomal RNA
Source: RNAcentral